GUGCUCGCUUUGGCAGCACAUGUACCAAAAUUGGACCAAUUCAGAGAUUAGCAUGGUCCCUGCAAAAAGAUAACAGGCAAAUUCAUGAGGGGUUCCAUACUUUU
Small nuclear RNA from Monodelphis domestica (gray short-tailed opossum), 104 nucleotides. NCBI's taxonomy places the organism in Eukaryota, Metazoa, Chordata, Mammalia, Didelphimorphia, Didelphidae. The record is from Ensembl.